UUCACGGUAUUGCAAUGAGAACAAUUUAAAACCCUUAGCGAGAAUCAAGUGGAGGACAAGUCUGGUGCCAGCACCCGCGGUAAUUCCAGCUCCACUAGCGUAUAUUAAAGUUGUUGCAGUUAAAAAGCUCGUAGUUGAACCUCUGUCUGGGGCUAGUUUUGGCUUUGGUCAGGCUAGUUCUAGGCAUCCGCCUACAAGACUUAGAGGGCAUUCAGUUGUUCACUAGGAGGAGUAGGCAUUUUACUUUGAAAAAAUUAGAGUGUUUAAGGCAGGCAAUCGCCCGCAUAUAUUAGCAUGGAAUAAUAGAAUAGGACACUUUUCCAUUUCGUUGGUUAUUGGAAUCGUGUAAUGAUUAAUAGGGACAGUUGUAGGCAUUUGUAUUUAAUUGUCAGAGGUGAAAUUCUUGGAUUUAUUAAAGACAAACUAACGCGAAAGCAUUUGCCAAGGAUGUUUUCAUUAAUCAAGAACGAAAGUUAGGGGAUCAAAGACGAUCAGAUACCGUCCUAGUCUUAACUAUAAACUAUUCCGACUCAAUGUUUGACUGGCUUAUAUAACCAGUUGAGCGUUGUAUGAGAAAUCAAAGUCUUUAGGUUCUGGGGGGAGUAUGGUUGCAAAGCUGAAACUUAAAGGAAUUGACGGAAGAGCACAACCAGGAGUGGAUUCUGCGGCUUAAUUUGACUCAACACGGGGAAACUUACCAGGUUAAAACAAUAGUGGGAUUGACAGUUUGAGAGCGCUUUCUUGAUUGGUUGGGUGGUGGUGCAUGGCCGUUCUUAGUUGGUGGAGUGAUUUGUCUGCUUAAUUGCGUUAACGAACGAGACCUUAACCUGCUUACUAGACUGGCGAUCAUCAAUCGUUAGCUCUUCUUAGAGGGACUUUGGUUGUUUUAACUCCAAGGAAGUUUGAGGCAAUAACAGGUCUGUGAUGCCCUUAGAUAUCCUGGGCCGCACGCGUCAUACAAUGACUAGUUCAGAAAGUUUUCUCCUGACCCGAAAGGGGAUGGGUAAUCUUGAUAAUACUAGUCGUGUUAGGGAUCGAUCUUUGCAAUUAUAGAUCUUGAACGAGGAAUUCCUAGUAAGUGCGGUUCAUCAGACCGUACUGAUUACGUCCCUGCUCUUUGUACACACCGCCCGUCGCUUCUACCGAGUGGGUGGUCCGGUGAGAUAAUUGAACUUCGCAGGUAACUGAGAGGAAAGAUUAUCAAACCUAUCCACCU
Molecule: ribosomal RNA, 1216 nt
Filed under: metagenome
Description: SSU rRNA
Rfam family: Eukaryotic small subunit ribosomal RNA
Source: RNAcentral